RNAcentral lists this ribosomal RNA (557 nucleotides) under Salmonella enterica subsp. enterica serovar Enteritidis. RNAcentral describes it as "partial 23S ribosomal RNA". It matches the Rfam family "Bacterial large subunit ribosomal RNA", at positions 675 to 1230 of the family's 2925-position model. Lineage: Bacteria; Pseudomonadati; Pseudomonadota; Gammaproteobacteria; Enterobacterales; Enterobacteriaceae. The record is from RNAcentral.
AACCGAGUCUUAAUUGGGCGUUAAGUUGCAGGGUAUAGACCCGAAACCCGGUGAUCUAGCCAUGGGCAGGUUGAAGGUUGGGUAACACUAACUGGAGGACCGAACCGACUAAUGUUGAAAAAUUAGCGGAUGACCUGUGGCUGGGGGUGAAAGGCCAAUCAAACCGGGAGAUAGCUGGUUCUCCCCGAAAGCUAUUUAGGUAGCGCCUCGUGAAUUCAUCUCCGGGGGUAGAGCACUGUUUCGGCUAGGGGGCCAUCCCGGCUUACCAACCCGAUGCAAACUGCGAAUACCGGAGAAUGUUAUCACGGGAGACACACGGCGGGUGCUAACGUCCGUCGUGAAGAGGGAAACAACCCAGACCGCCAGCUAAGGUCCCAAAGUCAUGGUUAAGUGGGAAACGAUGUGGGAAGGCCCAGACAGCCAGGAUGUUGGCUUAGAAGCAGCCAUCAUUUAAAGAAAGCGUAAUAGCUCACUGGUCGAGUCGGCCUGCGCGGAAGAUGUAACGGGGCUAAACCAUGCACCGAAGCUGCGGCAGCGACACUGUGUGUUGUUGGGUA